GACGAACGCUGGCGGCGUGCCUAAUACAUGCAAGUCGGGCGGACCGAACGAGGGCUUGCUCUUGUUUGGUCAGCGGCGGACGGGUGAGUAACACGUGGGCAACCUGCCCGCAAGACCGGGAUAACUCCGGGAAACCGGAGCUAAUACCGGAUAACACCGAAGACCGCAUGGUCUUCGGUUGAAAGGCGGUCUUUGGGCUGUCACUUGCGGAUGGGCCCGCGGCGCAUUAGCUAGUUGGUGAGGUAACGGCUCACCAAGGCGACGAUGCGUAGCCGGCCUGAGAGGGUGACCGGCCACACUGGGACUGAGACACGGCCCAGACUCCUACGGGAGGCAGCAGUAGGGAAUCUUCCGCAAUAGGCGAAAGCCUGACGGAGCGACGCCGCGUGAGCGAAGAAGGCCUUCGGGUCGUAAAGCUCUGUUGUGAGGGACGAAGGAGCGCCGUUCGAAGAGGGCGGCGCAGUGACGGUACCUCACGAGAAAGCCCCGGCUAACUACGUG
This 501-nucleotide ribosomal RNA is filed under the name uncultured bacterium. RNAcentral's name for it is "partial 16S ribosomal RNA". It matches the Rfam family "Bacterial small subunit ribosomal RNA", at positions 28 to 507 of the family's 1533-position model. The record is from RNAcentral.